ACCGUGCCCGACGCGCGCCAUUUGUACGGCUCCGGUUCGCACGGUAACCUGUUGCCGACUGUCCAGCGAUCGAAAACACUCCGACGAUAAACUCUUUCGAACUGUUACGUAUCGGUUCGCGUUGGAACAAUUAUAGAGAACCGGCAGAAAGUUGCAAUUCAACAGGCCUGUGCGAUCCAUCGACGAACGCGUCGUGCCGCGAAUACUUGGACUCGUGUGUGUACGGGACACUUCUUAAAUCGUACGAAUUCCGCGAGUGAUUCGAGGAACGCGUAGUUCUUGGAAGAUUCAGGACGAGUUGCGCGCUGGGUGUGCAACGAUGACGAGUCUCUGGUAUCUGUAGUGGGAAGCUGUAGUAGCUGGUACGCGGUAGAAGCUAAAGGUGUGCAGGCAUUCACGGUUCUGGUAAUCCGUUCUAGAUCGUCGCGAUUCCACGAAUGCAACGGUAACGGUGUGAGUGACGAUUUCGAGUCUCGACUCCUGGGAAUCGCGUUUAAGCAGCUUCGUCUUCGAAUCGGUACUUUGCACUCGAACGGCUCUCUGGCCACAUGAUUCGAUAGAGAAAUGAAGUCUGAGAUUUAAUAUGGAUUUGAAAUAUGCAUAAAUUAUACAUCGGUUGCUUAAAUAAUAGGAGAAAGAAGCUACGUGCCGAUCUCUUGCUGUUUAAGCAAUUAUAUCACUUGCUUGCGACUUAGAAUUCUGAAUACGAUGAUUUGAUUCCCUCGGAAUGUCGAAUAGUCAGCAAAAAACUUCCUUGACUACUGUUGAAAAAUUUGAUUAUUGACAUUAAUUGCGUCUAAGCUCGCUUAGAUCUGACUUCACUCAUUCAGUUCACUUCAGUGUUUUCCAAUACACGUUCUCAAAGAUACACAGCCAAUUAACGUAGAUUCGAUAUCGAUAUUAAAUUCUACUAUUACAAAUAUUACUGCGCGCAAUCUGAAAUAUUCCGUCGAAGCUCAAUCAAUUUUUAAUAUAAAUUUCAAGGGAAAUACCUCCGUCCUUAAUUCGCGCGCGAUUUCUCGAGGAAUUCAUUUCCAACGACGCCGCGUGUACCUCGUCGGAGAAUAUUGAAUAUCCAGUGAAAAACUGUCGAGUGCAAGGGGGUUGGCGGCGGUAGGGGACGAUGGCCGUUUCCUAAAGCCUCGGGCUUCCGGCAACAGCGUGUAACCUGUUGCUUAGUAAUCCAUUACUCUUGCGAAAGACAGCGAUUGUUACGCGAUUCCCGUGUUUUCGCGUCGAAGCUCCGCGAGCGCUGACAAUGGCCGUCGCGAAUGGUUCAACAAGUGAAUGAAAGCCGACUCGUCAACUCUGCCGGCGCGCUAUUGUUCGAACCGUCGAUGGACGAUCGCCGGCGCUGAAGGAUUAACGUGCCGGUCCCGUCCCAGAGGGGAAGUCCAGGUUCCCAGCGAACUUCCCGGCGCGCCGUGGAACUGGAUACGCAGCGGGGCUGUUCAACCCCGAAACACCGUAAUCUCGAGCCGAUUGGAUAGAGAGGGGGACGCUCGGCGUCUAGAGACGGUCUCCCGCACACCUGCGUGGCGAGGGCGCGAGGUCGAGCUGCGGAAUCGAUUCCAGGACAAUGGGGACGCGCCUCGAUCCGUCAGGAAUUGUCUCUGACGCGUCGAUCGUGUCCCGAGGGAUUAUCCCCCGCGAAGGGCAGACGGCAUCGCGGGUCAGGAAGAUCGGUAGCCAGGGAAACGAUCUCGAUUCCUUUCGCCCUCGAUGUCCCUCGGCCGACGAGGAAUGAACUGGACGCACGGACGCCGGAGGGUUGUUUCCAGAAGAAUGCACCUGAUUUCCCGCCCCCUCGUAUUCCAAUCAACAAGUUGCUUGGUAUUGCCGCCGCGGUUUCUGGGGAUGUAGCUCUGUUUGUCUUCGGGUUUGAUUGAGGCCCUUUCUGCUGGAUGCUGAUUGGAGACGCUCGGACCGGUGCGACGAUUCAUUUAGUUCGGUGAUCUCACGCGUAGGAUUACUUGUGCGGUAAUUAGUGUGUAAUUCGGUGGUAGAUUUGAUGGUGUUUUAUUUGGAGUUGUAGUCGGCUGUAUCGCGUUGCGUGAGACGGUUUGUAGUUCGAUUUUGCGGUGGUAGAAGUCUGUAUUUUGGUUUUAGAGUGAACUUUGGUGCUCGAUGGGAGUUUGAAGUGCUGUAAGUUGUAUAGCAGUACGAUCUUCUGUUUGGUUGAAUGUUCCUGCGUUGGCGGGACGUUAAAGUUCGAUGGCAGAUUGAAUUUCGAUUACGCUGCGAUCUUUCUCUGUUCUUGCUUCGGAUACUCGUAUUUCGACGUAGCGAUACAAUGAGUGUUUGAACUUUUGCCACUCACGCGAUUCUACGAUCUCCUUCUAGUCUUGUUAGUACUUCGACAAAACUAAAUUGACAUUCAUAGUUUAACAUAAUCCAGAGACAACUCGAACCAAGGCACUCUUGUUCCGAAUACGCAUGCUUCAACAUGAGAAAUUAAAUUGAUACUCGUUCAACGUGACGAUCCAACAACUCAAACUCUUGCCACUCUUACACUACCAUCUCUCUCCAUUCUUGUUCCAAAUACUUCAACAAAAUUAAAUUGACACUCAUAGUUCAACAUAACGAUCAACAAUUUGAACCCUUACAACUCACGCAAUUCUACAAUCUUUCUUCAUUCUUGUCCCAAAUUCGCAUGCUCCAACAAAACGAAUCAAGUUGAUACUCAUGCAACGAUCCAAUAACAACUCGAAUUCUUAUCACUCUCACACUACCAUCUGCCUGUACUAGUUCUAAAUACUUCAACAAAACUAAAUCGACACUCAUAGUUCAACAUAACGAUCAACAACUCGAACCCUUACAACUCACGCAAUUCUACAAUCUUUCUCCAUUCUUGUCCCAAAUUCGCAUGCUCCAACAAAACGAAUCAAGUUGAUACUCACACAACGUAACGUCCAACAACACCUCAAACUCUUACCACUCUCACACUACCAUCUCCCUCUUCUCGUUCCAAAAUCGUCCUAAAUCGCCACUCACAGUUCAACACAACGAUCAACAACUCGACCCCCUACCCGCACUAAACCUCCCUCCGUCUCGAAAAACGGCCACAACAAGAAAGUCCAACGAAUGAGAUUCCUCCCCCGAACAUUCGUGCCUCAAAACAGCGAAGAACUUCCGGAACUAUUCCGGCGGAUAGCUCCCAGCCGCAUCACCGAAAGCGAUAUCGUACAUCAAAAGCGGUUCGCCCGCGGAACAGGCUGUCUCCCGUCCAAUCUCCGGGAGGCGAGAGGGUAGGGGGUCGCGAGGAUUCUUCCGGGUCGCGAAGUAGAGCGGAAUGAUUCUAACCGGCGGGAACGGAUCCCCGGUAAUAAAUCCUCGGCGCGGAUCGGCCGGAGGGAAACGAGCUGGAAACACGAGCGACCUCGGGGCGACGCUGAAGUUGCCGGUGUUCUUCAAGGUCUAGGGUUCACCUUGAACGCGCGCUCGAGGCCAAGGGGAGCUGCUCUCUCGUCGUCGGGGAGAACUUCCGAGGGUUGUUCCGCUUUAAUCGCCGCGCGUCCAACGAAACGCAUCCCCCAAGCGUCGUAAGUCGCGACGAACUUCAGGAUUCGCGACACUCGCAUCGCCGUUGGGAGGAAUAACGCUCGACCCUGAGGAAGUCGAUCGGGAAUGCAAUUUUGUGGGGAUUGAGUGACACGUAAAACGUGACCCGGUGUAUCGAACGAUUCGCAUCGUUAUCGGACGUUACGGGGAUCGAUGCGGAAUACCCUAUGAAACUCGGAUGCGAUAAAAAACGCUUGAGGGUGGAAUAGAGGGAAGUCGAGGACUGUUCGGGGUUGUAGUGCGGAAGAUCGAGUGACGUAAUAGAGGAUUGGAGAUUGUUCUGAGAUCCGUGGAGUGGAUGUUGAGUGUUGUUCGGGAAUGUGAAGGUUAGGUCGUUGUAAGGGGAUGCGGAACUGAGACCUAAUUAGUGAUGAAGUGAUAUAGAUUCGGUGUUGGGGUGGAAUUUCUAAUGGAGCUUUGGAAUAAAUAAUCCACGAUUCUGAAGAGCGGAAGCGACAGAGGUAGGUGCAGAGGAGAUGUGAAAGCAGAUUGACGAAAGUGGAAUAAUAGAACCGAGGGAAAUAAUUGAUGGAGCGAGGAUAACGAUGCAAUCAUCGGACACAGUGCCAUGCUGCGACACACGCGCGACGAGGACACCUGGCGCCACGUGCAUCUGAACGAAACCCUGCUGCAACUGAGGUCCCUGCUGCGCCGCAUGACCAUGAAUCGGCUGGACAAUUACACCGACCUGAUCCGGACGUUCAACAUCACCGACGAGGACAUCAAGUACGUGAUCGACUACUUCGACAACGACAACCAGACGGCGCAGAAAACUGCCAGCGAGCCGACCGGCUGCUACUGCAACGGCACCGUCAGGAACCUGGCCGUCGGCUACCGGAACUACCACGGCUACGUCGCGCUGAUGGUCUGCGUCUUCGGCACCCUGGCUAAUAUGCUGAACAUCGUCGUGCUCACCAGGAAGAAUAUGGUCACCGCGCCUAUCAACAAGAUACUGACCGGCCUGGCGACCGCUGACAUGCUGGUGAUGUUGGAGUACAUACCGUUCGCCAUUUACAAGUACAUCGUGCUGCCCAAGAGACAGGUCUUCCCCUACGGAUGGGCCGUCUUCGUGCUCUUCCACAUGCACUUCACGCACAUACUGCACACCAUCAGCAUCGCCAUCACGCUCACUCUGGCGAUUUGGAGGUACAUCGCGAUUAGAUUCCCGCAGAACAACUCGUGCUGCACGCCGACACGCUGCAAGCUGGCGCUCUGGAGCAGCUUCCUGGCCUCGUUCGUCGUCUGCGCCCCUAGCUACUUCGUGUUCGGCGAAGAAGACGCUGAACGAGAACGGGACCGUGGAGAUCGCGUACAUCGUCGACACGGACUACACGCAGCACAAGGACUUCCUGUACCAGCUGAACUUCUGGGUGCUCGGGGUGGUCAUGAAGCUCCUGCCCUGCGUCAUUCUCACGGUUAUCAGCUGCUGGCUGAUAAAAGCUCUUUACAGAGCGAAGGGCAGGAAGCAGGUGUUGAAGAGCUACAACCAGUGCAAGGGCAGCUUAGCCAUGGGCAACGGGCAGAUCUCGCGGAAGCCCAGCAAGUCGGACCGCCGAGCGGACAGGACCACCAACAUGCUGGUAGCCGUGUUGCUCCUGUUCCUGGUCACGGAGAUCCCCCCGGGCGUCCUGAGCCUCCUGUCCGGCGUCCUGGGCGACUGCUUCUUCCGCACCUGCUAUCACAACUUCGGCGAGCUGAUGGACAUCCUGGCGCUGCUGAACGGCGCCAUCAACUUCAUCCUCUACUGCUCCAUGUCCAGGCAGUUCCGCACGACCUUCGGCCAGCUGUUCAAGCCCAGGAUCAUGAAGAAGUGGCAGCCCGCCACGCAGCAGACGGACGUGCAGAGCACCUACGUAUGAUGCCGGCUGAAGGGUCUAGAGACCACGCGUCUCUAGAGGCUAGGCGUCGCGACGCCGAGUGGAAACUGGAAAUCGAGGAGACACUUUCAUAACUCAUCCAGUGGGCUGACCUGGGAAGUUGCUUUUAUUCGUCCAAACUGCCAACUUCUGCGGCGAUGAGCUAGACUGCGACACUGCGUUGUUGACUGUAGCAGGUUGCACAGGUUGUUGUUGGAGAGAGGACACUUUCCGGUCAGCCCAGACUUCUUACACGACUCGAACAACUUUUGCACGAUGCACGACGAGGAGAUUCUAGACAGCGACGUUCAGCACCUGUGUGAGAAUGUGGAACAGAACUGAUGUCUAGGGGCGAGUGAACUGCAGAUUUUAGUCUUACCGAGGAACGGAUGUUUGUGCUGCAUGGACAGUUAGAAACGAUUCGCUGGAUAGUUUCUAGAGCAGUCGAAUGGAUCGGUAUCCAUUUAGAAUGAUCGAUAACCCUCGACACGGAUAAGCGAAACGCAGGUGUUCCGCUGAAGUUCGUCGAUAUUUUAAUAACAUAAACGGCGCGCGUCGUUGACGAACCGUUCGCGCUGUAAUUAAUUGUAUCAGAUAACCCCGCGUCGUUGAUCGAUGUUCGAGCGUGAUUCGCGCGGCAACAUUUUCAGACUUUGCCGUCGACGUUGCUCCAGAGCGUGGAUCACAGGCGAUCAAAGAAUUUCCAUGAAAUUGCAUCUCGACGGGGCGGGUCCGAGCGAAACGAUCGGCCAGCCUUUUUUUUACCGGUCGGUUAAUCGAUUGCACUUUGACAACGAAACCUACAGAUUUCAUAGACGAGAGACACGUAUAUACAUAUAGGGUGAGAAAAAGUGAACGAAGAAUAUCGAAGCUAUUACAUAAACGCUAACGUAGAGUAAUUGCGAAUGAGACGGUCGGAUCUCGUUUAGAUUAUCGAUUAUUUCCUUGGAUUAUUUAGUAAACUAGAUCUUUAUGAUAAUGUACAUGUAACAAAGUUUAGUUAUUUUUAUAAUAAUUUAUAUAUCGCAGAGUUUAUAUAUAAACGCUAGUGUACGCAGGGUAAUUCCGUAUGAGAUGGCCCGAGCUUAUUUAGAUUAUCAAUCAUCUGUCUUCGAUUAUUUCGUAUUUUUAGUGAAUCGUGUUUGUAAUAAAUCAGUUUCGAUAAUGAACGAAUGAAUUAUCGAACACGCAACAGUAACACUAGAUUUACAUUUAUCGUAUGGUCUGCUCUACUGCUCUUAGGAAACUUCAUGUUCGUUCAUCGGAAUUUGAAAGUUAGAGGUUUAAAAAUAGAUUAUUCAGGUAAGUAUAAUACAUAAUACUGGUGUACUUGCCGACAGAGUUAACCGAAUAGUGCUUAUAAAAUUCAAUAAGCGUCAGAUCGACGCGUCCCGCGAAGCUAGCGUUGAACAAACGAGACGCGCGACACAGGAAUGUCGCGUAAUAAUCGUUUGCCGAGCAAUAAACGAAAUACCGUGUACUAAAUACGUCCGUAAGAAUAAAGGAAUAUCUGCUCGCAAAGUUAGGUAUAAAAUUUGUCCAAAGAUUCGCAUGCUUUUCAAUUAAACAGAACUCAAAGCACCGAUCCACCGAAAUCGGAUAAUAGCUUUUUCAUGAGAACUGGGUCGUCUCUGCAGGAUUUAACCUGCGUAUUACAUAUUUACGUAUACAUACAUAUUAUAGGUACGUUAAUUAAUGUAGCACAAUCACGCGGAAAACGAGGAUGUGUAAUUAUAUUUCUCGCGGACGUAAAACGCAGCGCCAGCGAAUACCGAGCGGCCGCGUUAGUUUUGUACGACGGGGAAACGCUGCGACGGAUUUUCGGCUAAUGAGCCCGGCCGGA
Nomia melanderi (Alkali bee) is the source of this 7260-nucleotide non-coding RNA. Lineage: Eukaryota; Metazoa; Arthropoda; Insecta; Hymenoptera; Halictidae. The record is from RefSeq and is a predicted model, not a curated record.